AUGCAUAAAUGACAUCACUUAUGCCAUCUGCUUCACUUUUAAAGUAGGAAACAACACAUUAUUCUGAAAUACUGCAUACAGUCAUACAGUGAGGACAGAUGACCGUCCCAGGCACCAAAAUGGCACAGUGAGUUCUGCCACCGUGAGCAAAACUGAUCUCACCAGGUCUGGAAGGCUCAUCAUGGUUCCAUGGAUCAAAGGCACCCUGGAUGCUCUGGACCUGUGCAAUUGAUCCUGACUUCAGGCUGAUUAUAGUGAGGUACUCCAGGGUUUGAACAUACUGAAAGACCAGCACACUCCUUAAUUAUAUUAUUCUACAUAAUCAUAUUAUGUAGCAAUUUUCAUCCAGUUAAAAUAUUCUUUACUUGAGGAAGUCUUCUUAAGGAUUAGGAGGCCUUAAGUGGAAACAUUGCUUCCAGAAAUGUUGAAGAGACUUCGGAAGCAAACUCGGAAGUCUCAAGAAGCUCCUGAAUCUGACAAGGCUCCGUUCCCCCUGCUUAGAGCAACCUGUGGAUCCUGAGAGAGGAAGCGAGGCCGGGAGGCUGGAGCGAAAGAGACUGAACAAACAGCAAUUGAGCAAGGCACAAACAGACUCUUGAGGCCGGUUCAGUGAGACAGCUCCUUCAAUGGGAGGAACAAAGGCUUUGAGGGUGAGGAGCGGCU
Long non-coding RNA from Mus musculus (house mouse), 663 nucleotides. RefSeq annotates it as predicted gene 17094. The record is from RefSeq and is a predicted model, not a curated record. The transcript is spliced from 4 exons. Lineage: Eukaryota; Metazoa; Chordata; Mammalia; Rodentia; Muridae.